GCCUGGCUGGCUCAGUUGGAAGAGCACAGAACUCUUGAUCUUGGGGUCAUGAGUUCAAGACACAUGUUGGGUG
Molecule: transfer RNA, 73 nt
Filed under: Felis catus (domestic cat)
Lineage: Eukaryota; Metazoa; Chordata; Mammalia; Carnivora; Felidae
Rfam family: tRNA
About the family: Transfer RNA (tRNA) molecules are approximately 80 nucleotides in length.
Source: Rfam by way of RNAcentral